UGCCUCUGUGGGAGAAUGCCCCAGCCUUUGGGAACUAAGCAGACUGCCUGGCCAAGGAAGCAGGCACUGCGGCCCUAGGCACUUUUCUUGUCUCUAAGCAGGGCUCUGGAACCAGGCAGUGUCUGCUUGAGGACCACAAGUUGAAAGAGCUUUGGUGUUAACAACGGAGACCUACACGGGAAAAUCCAGUAGCUGUGGUUCUCAGGGUAUGGCCCGGACCAGUUGCCGCAGCAUUACCUGGGAAAUGGUUGCAAGUGCACGCAAAAAUUUGAGAACUACUGAUACUAGGGAUGAAGAAGGCCAUUUCAAUGACAGAUCUUAGGAGAAUUCAAGUCAUCAUUAGGUAUGGGAUUCCCAAACUGACAAAUGAGAACUGUCUGGGAAAGACAGGAAUAGAGAGGGAAACAGGAGGAUUCCCAGCACUGAAGGUUGGGCCAGACCUCACCAGGUCUCCAUGUGCUUCAAAGGACCAAAUAAGGUGAGCUUUAAAAAGGGGGAGGGGGGUUGAGAAGUAGAAAAGACCGAGAGAGGGAAGAGUGGGCCUGGACACAUUCACCCCACCGUUUGGGGUGCUCGGAACAAAAGGUCAAAUGGGGACACUUAGACGGUGAAGUUUACAAUCAAAUGGAUCUCAAGGGGAAGGCUCCAAAGUAAAUUGCAUAGCAUCCUCGUACCUUGACGAGCAAAUUUGUUUAGCAAAUUGGAAAGCCAAGGUUGGCAAAUUCAGAAUUCUUAAGAGUUCCAUAGUGCUGAGAGGCAAGAGGAGAGGCCACUUAUUCCAGUCUACCAGUCCACGGACUACUCCUUGCUUCUCGCUAACUUGUUCCCCACCAUGAGGGGCUCCAAUCACGCAUGGAUAAGCCACCCCAUGGAUAAGCUACAACCCUUGUAAGCAGCCCCCCCCCUUCUACUGUUUAGUUCUGUAAAGGACACAGAAGAAGCCAGAACCACAGGCAGGCUCUGGAAAUAGGCUCAAGGUGUUUGAGGCAGCGAAUUCUGUAGUCUUGGUUUCUUGAAACAUGUGGAAGCUUAAUCUACAUGAUCACAUUAUGGUCUGUGGAAUAUUAAAACCCUGGGGAAAACAAAGAAUUCAAGAGUAGAUCCUCUAGGAAUGAGUCCAAGAUAGAGGCCAUUAUGCCCAGGUCCAAAAAUGGCACCAGAUAGAAAAAGGAGGAAAAGCUAAGGAAGUAAGGAAGACAGAAAGAAUGAUGGUGAGUGAGACU
Myodes glareolus (Bank vole) is the source of this 1223-nucleotide long non-coding RNA. RefSeq lists it as uncharacterized. Lineage: Eukaryota; Metazoa; Chordata; Mammalia; Rodentia; Cricetidae. The record is from RefSeq and is a predicted model, not a curated record.